This 287-nucleotide ribosomal RNA is filed under the name uncultured bacterium. Its description in RNAcentral is "partial 16S ribosomal RNA". It matches the Rfam family "Bacterial small subunit ribosomal RNA", at positions 773 to 1060 of the family's 1533-position model. The record is from RNAcentral.
GUGGAUUAGAUACCCCGGUAGUCCACGCCGUAAACGUUGGGCACUAGGUGUGGGAUCUUUCCAACGGAUUCCGUGCCGUAGCUAACGCAUUAAGUGCCCCGCCUGGGGAGUACGGCCGCAAGGCUAAAACUCAAAGGAAUUGACGGGGGCCCGCACAAGCGGCGGAGCAUGUUGCUUAAUUCGAGGCAACGCGAAGAACCUUACCUGGGCUUGACAUGUAGAGAAAAGCCACAGAGAUGUGGUGUCCUUCGGGGCUCUACACAGGUGGUGCACGGUCGUCGUCAACU